Micropterus salmoides (largemouth bass) is the source of this 734-nucleotide long non-coding RNA. RefSeq lists it as uncharacterized. Lineage: Eukaryota; Metazoa; Chordata; Actinopteri; Centrarchiformes; Centrarchidae. The record is from RefSeq and is a predicted model, not a curated record. The transcript is spliced from 2 exons.
UAGCCUACUAUCUGCUCGCGGGCUGAAAGUGAUACGAUCUACGUACAAAAACACUGAUUGUUUCUUCUAAACGCGAAAGGACCCAUGCCUCUCAACACCGCGAAAGCAUCAAAAUCUCCUAGAUAUGUAGCCUACUUACCAGCACGAAUUAGAUCAUCCCACCUGUUUCCAAUGCAGCAUAAUUAAUUUUUUUUUUUUUUCUUCAGCUUAGUAAGUAAAUUCGAAACUGGAAAUAUCUCAGUAUAAGAGACCCGAAUAAAAUUAUAAAGUGCGUUGAACAAAACAAGGGAACUAACACUCCAUGAGCAUGCGUUUUAUGUUUGAUUAAAGUUAAGAUAGUGUGAUAUGUUUAACUGGUUUAGAUGGAUUAGUUGUUGUUUUUUUGCAGCGUGUGUUUCUCCCUCAGGGGAACACGUGUUGCAGCCAAAGGAGAGCUGCGGGGCCUCCCUCGUGGGAAACUGAUGUAAUGUGAUGGAGUGUGGUUAGAGCUAACGCACUUUUAAUACUUGACAUCCAUGCUUAAAGAUGAUUAUAAAUCACAAUACAACUGGUGAAGUGGGAGGUAUGGAGGUGGGGGUGCAUUUCCCUCCUAUUUCUUGUGUGAGUGAGCGCCUCCAUUGCUGUGUGAUAAGAUAAAGGCUUAGCAUGUGAAUGAGAGGAGUCCCCACUAGCUGCUCAUUCACCUCAAGGUUCCUGUCAUAAAGUGAUUAAAGGCUCUUUGCUGUCUACUCAUC